This is a non-coding RNA of Glycine max (soybean), 118 nucleotides long. The record is from Rfam. NCBI's taxonomy places the organism in Eukaryota, Viridiplantae, Streptophyta, Magnoliopsida, Fabales, Fabaceae.
GGGGAGCAUCUAGAAGGCAAGAUGUUGCCUGAUACAAUCUUCCUAUAGAGAAGAACUGUUGUUUCCUGCUUGCAGUGCUUCAGCAAGUACUGUAAGUCUCAAAUAGACAGUGACACAU